RNAcentral lists this ribosomal RNA (253 nucleotides) under uncultured prokaryote. Its description in RNAcentral is "partial 16S ribosomal RNA". It matches the Rfam family "Bacterial small subunit ribosomal RNA", at positions 524 to 776 of the family's 1533-position model. The record is from RNAcentral.
UACGGAGACUGCAAGCGUUAUUCGGAUUCACUGGGCGUAAAGGGUGCGCAGGCGGCCGGGUGUGUCAGAUGUGAAAUCCCGAGGCUUAACCUCGGAACUGCGUCUGAAACUACUCGGCUAGAGUAUUGGAGAGGGUAACGGAAUUCACGGUGUAGCAGUGAAAUGCGUAGAUAUCGUGAGGAACACCAGAGGCGAAGGCGGUUACCUGGACAAUUACUGACGCUCAGGCACGAAAGCAUGGGGAGCAAACAGG